This 405-nucleotide RNase P RNA is filed under the name Anaerolineaceae bacterium. Its description in RNAcentral is "RNase P RNA component class A". It matches the Rfam family "Bacterial RNase P class A". From Rfam's summary of the family: Ribonuclease P (RNase P) is a ubiquitous endoribonuclease, found in archaea, bacteria and eukarya as well as chloroplasts and mitochondria. Its best characterised activity is the generation of mature 5'-ends of tRNAs by cleaving the 5'-leader elements of precursor-tRNAs. Cellular RNase Ps are ribonucleoproteins. Lineage: Bacteria; Bacillati; Chloroflexota; Anaerolineae; Anaerolineales; Anaerolineaceae. RNAcentral also lists the same sequence under 1 other name. The record is from RNAcentral.
CAGGCCAGCCAGAUGGUCGCGGCGUUGAGCGAUCAGCGUCGAGGAAAGUCCGCACUCCACAGGGCAGGUUGCCGGGUAACACCCGGGGCGGGGAUCCUCCGGGAGAACCCGCCGGACAGGGCCACAGAAACAUACCGCCCGCAAGGGCAAGGGUGAAAAGGUGGUGUAAGAGACCACCGGCGCUGCCGAAAUGCAGCGGCCAGGUAACCCCCAACCGGAGCAAGGCCAAGCAGGGACCAUGUCCGCUUCGACGGCAGGAAACGGCCCGUUUCCUUAUGAGUCCCGGGUAGGCUGCACGAGCCCGGUGGCAACACCCGGCCUAGAGAGAUGACCAUCCACCUGGAAACCGUGCAACGCGCAUACCUUUUCAGGGAACAGAAUGCGGCUUAUCGGCUGGCCUGUGUG